This is a long non-coding RNA of Falco peregrinus (peregrine falcon), 791 nucleotides long. RefSeq lists it as uncharacterized. The transcript is spliced from 3 exons. The record is from RefSeq and is a predicted model, not a curated record. NCBI's taxonomy places the organism in Eukaryota, Metazoa, Chordata, Aves, Falconiformes, Falconidae.
UCUGUCCCUGCACUGUCACCUCUUUUAAAACUAACAAAUGCAUGACAUAUAAUACAAGAUUUAUAAAUUAAAGAAACCCACCCCUUUUAAGUAAUAUUCUUUAAAUCUCAGUUUCUGACAGUCCUCCUAUUUGCUCAGUAACUGUAAUAGGCGUAUUUUUCAGAAAAUAGUGAAUAAAAACUGACAAGCUAUCGGGGGAAUCUGAAUGCAUAAUUGAUAGGGGCAUAAAUUAAUAUGAUUAGGCCUUUAUUGGGUGCCACUGCUGCCAAACCUACAAAAGGGGCAUGGAAUAAAACAUGGCUAUGUUCUCAGGGCUGACAGACAUCAAUAUGUAAUGCAUAUUAUCUCAAACCUUCUCAUGUAGUCUGCGUAUGACAGCACUCAACCUAAUUGAAAUUUUUAUCUUUCUGUUGCAUACAGACAGUUUUGACUAGCUGCUUCCAGGGAAAAGAGAGAAAUCCAAAUGACCCAAAUGAAGGUUUCUCUGUAGAGAAACAAGACUGAUAACCAUGUGACUAGAAAAAACCCUGUGUGUGCUCUGCAGUGUUGUGUGCAUUGUCAGGUGGAUGAGGUGACUUGAGGCUGUAGAGAUUUAAAGGCUGGGCACACAGAGAUAGACACUCAUUCAGUCCACGUGUUCAGCAGCUCUGCUUGUUGUUCAGAGAGGGGGAUAUUACACACUGGAGGAGGAGCCUGAAUUGACACCCAUGCCCGGCUUUCUCCUUUUUUAGCUGUCAGAUACUGCUAGCAUGACCACAGCGGAUGGCUGAGACAGGUAUGGCAAGACUGGA